GUAGGGAAUAUUGGGCAAUGGAUGCAAGUCUGACCCAGCCAUCCCGCGUGCCGGAAGAAGGCCCUCAGGGUUGUAAACGGCUUUUGACGGUGAAGAACCGACAGGAUGCGUCCUGUUUUGACGGUAGCCGUUGAAUAAGCACCGGCUAACUCCGUGCCAGCAGCCGCGGUAAUACGGAGGGUGCGAGCGUUGUCCGGAUUUAUUGGGUUUAAAGGGUGCGUAGGCUGGAAGGUCAGUCAGCGGUGAAAAGCUAUCGCUUAACGAUAGUCUUGCCGCAGAUACUUCCUUUAUUGGAUGAGGAGGAGGCCACUGGAACGGAUGGUGUAGCGGUGAAAUGCAUAGAUAUCAUCCAGAACACCGAUUGCGAAGGCAGGUGGCUGUACCUUAAUCGACGCUGAUGCACGAAAGCAUGGGGAGCAAACAGGAUUAGAAACCCCGGUAGUCC
This 445-nucleotide ribosomal RNA is filed under the name uncultured bacterium. Its description in RNAcentral is "partial 16S ribosomal RNA". It matches the Rfam family "Bacterial small subunit ribosomal RNA", at positions 354 to 796 of the family's 1533-position model. The record is from RNAcentral.